UCACCUGCACGUCGCAUGUGAUCCUUAAGGUCUUGCCAUGAAGCAGAUGAGGGCAACCCAGUGAUCAAAACACGAUACUCAGAGCGCCUGGACACUCCUCUUCCACGACCACCACUGUAACUACUGUGGCGAUCUGAGGAAGAAUGUCCACGCCCACCAUGUGCAAGCUCCACCCGUAAGCGAUGCCCAUCUAAAUCAUAGCCAUCACGACCGCGAAUUGCAUCUUCCGCAUCUCGAGCCUCUUCAAACUCAACAAAUGCAUAACCCGGGGGCCUUGGUGGGAUCUUGAGAUCAAUGUGUGCUAUGGGACCAUACUUGUAGAACAAAUCCUCCACUUCUCUCUCCCGAAUAUCGCCAGGCAGAUUGCCAACAUAGAGAGUCCUGCUAGCGCGGCUACUCAUUUUCCCUUUCGAUGAAAUAGAGGCUCGGUCAGGGGUAGAAGAAAAAUUCGAAGGUUAGGGUUUUGAGAUCGGGUGAGAGUG
RNAcentral lists this unclassified non-coding RNA (482 nucleotides) under Hevea brasiliensis (rubber tree). Lineage: Eukaryota; Viridiplantae; Streptophyta; Magnoliopsida; Malpighiales; Euphorbiaceae. The record is from RNAcentral.